UACAGAGGUCUCAAGCGUUGUUCGGAUUCAUUGGGCGUAAAGGGUGCGUAGGCGGCGCGGUAAGUCUGCUGUGAAAGUCCAGGGCUCAACCCUGGGAUGCCGGUGGAUACUGUCGGGCUAGAGUGCGGAAGAGGCGAGUGGAAUUCCCGGUGUAGCGGUGAAAUGCGCAGAUAUCGGGAGGAACACCAAUUGCGAAGGCAGCUCGCUGGGACGUAACUGACGCUGAGACGCGAAAGCGUGGGGAGCAAACAGG
RNAcentral lists this ribosomal RNA (253 nucleotides) under uncultured bacterium. Its description in RNAcentral is "partial 16S ribosomal RNA". It matches the Rfam family "Bacterial small subunit ribosomal RNA", at positions 524 to 776 of the family's 1533-position model. The record is from RNAcentral.